UGCGGUGCUGGUGUUCACCCUGCCAGACCGAGGGCCUGUUCCUCUCCUCUGCUCCACAGAGUUGGGGAGUCAGGGAGGGGCAAUUUCUAUUCUCACACGUUUUAAAUAGCUGUUACUUCACUUACCCUCCUUUGCUCUGGGCUGUGUGCUCUGAUAGCUCCGCCUGCCCUCAGGCAGUCACUGCCACAGCUUUGCCUCCAUUUUGUUACUCGAUUUGAGCAUCUUUACACCUAAAUUUGUAACCUGAAGAGAGAUCCAGAGGCAGUGCCACCACCCCACAGACCCUGGGCUGUGUUACCCCACUUUGAGACAUCUCAUUGUGGGAGCUCCAGGGCAAACUCCCUCUCCACAGGUGCAGGAACGACAUUUCCAGGCAAGCUUAAACAGAAGAGACAGCAGAGCAAACACUCCAGCCCAGCCCAUCACUGGCUUCUGUGUUGGAUUAAACAAGAUCACAAUUCAGACCUCUCAUUGGAGGUAAGAAAAAUAAAUGAUGUCUUCCAUGUUACUUGUGCCAAAGGGGUUUCUUUUUUCCCCUUCUGGUGUUUUGAGCGUGCAGUGGACACCUGUGCAUUGGAGAAGGCACCUCUGCUGCACUCAGUUUUCAUGAGGAGCAGUUUACCAAAUGGGAAAAACUAG
Molecule: long non-coding RNA, 639 nt
Filed under: Manacus vitellinus (golden-collared manakin)
Lineage: Eukaryota; Metazoa; Chordata; Aves; Passeriformes; Pipridae
Description: lncRNA (ENSMVIG00005010024.1)
Source: RNAcentral